GGCCCCGUGGCGGAAUAGGUAGACGCAGUGGGCUUAAAACCCGCGGCCUUCGGGCGUUCCGGUUCAAGUCCGGACGGGGCUACCG
RNAcentral lists this transfer RNA (85 nucleotides) under Sorangium sp. RNAcentral describes it as "tRNA-Leu". It matches the Rfam family "tRNA". From Rfam's summary of the family: Transfer RNA (tRNA) molecules are approximately 80 nucleotides in length. The record is from RNAcentral. Lineage: Bacteria; Pseudomonadati; Myxococcota; Polyangiales; Polyangiaceae.